This is a long non-coding RNA of Triticum aestivum (bread wheat), 1897 nucleotides long. RefSeq lists it as uncharacterized. The record is from RefSeq and is a predicted model, not a curated record. Lineage: Eukaryota; Viridiplantae; Streptophyta; Magnoliopsida; Poales; Poaceae. The transcript is spliced from 5 exons.
CUCCUAGGCAGAACCCUGGCCUCCACGUCGCUCUAUAAACGCUGCUGCCACCGCCUGUAAUUUUCGUGCCCCGCCAAGGGCAUCUUAGUAAUUUCACGUACAUAUGUAUAAAAGCCAGCCACCUGUGAAGAAGAUCUAGCCGCCCGCCACUCUCCUCUUUCCGCCGCCUCCCGCGUCUCCCCCACUCCCUCAAGCGUCGCACCCCUCCUCCCAUCCCGCAUCUCGUCCACCCUGGGAUCCGAGCGUAGAGUCGACCUUCCCCGGCGGCGGCGCUCCAUUCAAUCUGCAAGAGAGAGAGAGAGACCGAGAGAGAGAGCAUGCGAGGGAGAAGAAGAAAAGAGAGGAGGGAGAAAGAGAGAGGAAAGAGGAGCGGGAGGCGUGGCGUCGGAUGGGAGAGGGUCACCGCCGGCGUCCGCCUGCACCGGCGAGGUCGGGUCCUCGAGCCAUGGAGGCACUCUUCGCUGGGCCCUCGCCGUUGGCCUCCCGUGCGUCGCAGCGCCCCUCCCGCCGACUGGGCUCUCUCCUCCCGCCUCGGCAGAUUGGAUCGAGGGUGCUACGCCGCCGUCGCCGACUGGAUUUGCUCCUCCAUCGCUGCCGCGAGUCAACUUCACCAUUCUCGCCAGGAAUCCGUCCCCCCUGCUGCAGCCUGCUCGUCUUCCGGUUGCUGUAGUCGGCAUCGCGGCCCUACAGAGGGCGUUGAAUAGGUGAGCUCCCAUCCUCUCCCUUUUCUCUUCCCCUGGUCCUCUCCUCUUCCUCAAUGUUGCUCCUCCAAUCUCUCACAUCCUGGCAGGAUGGAGAUGUGACUUGAGAUCCUCCAUCUAACAAGCUCCCCGGGUAGUGGUGGAUCUUUAUAUUAGCACAUGACUGAGCAGUUCGACAACGUUUAUAAUUUAUCGUUGUCAAGUCAGCCUUUGCGUGAUUCAAAAAGAACACAAAGACUGUUGCACGGUACUAUAUAAUUUAUCAGUUCAGUUUAACUAUUUUUUAGAAAAGAACAUCCUUACCAAGCCUGCACAUUUUAAGGUCGUGAGGCUUCAGUUUACUCUGUUUGCCUCACUACAGGAGAACAUUCAGAGGGCUCAAGAAAGAGACAAGAACUUGUGCUUCAAGCAGCGAAGAUAGCCAGCCUAAAUGAAUCGAAACAAGAACAAGCAUCGGGAAAUUACAGAUGAGGAAGUGCAGCUGGCUGAUAUAGGUCUUGCAAUGUGCAUGUCAGGGACAGAAGUUGCUAAAGAAAGCUCCGACAUUAUAAUCUUAGAUGAUGACUUCACAUCUAUUGUGAAGGGUCAUUGGAAUGGACCAAGUUAUGAAUGUUCCUGAAAUGCGAUACUAGAAUAUUUGAAGCGGAUGUUAUCAAGAUUGUGCCAAAGGCAGAGGGUGCCAAAGGCGAUGCUCAUUCCCGUUCUUAGUGAGAUGCGUUUACUCGAUGCAAAGUAUGAGCAUUGCAGACUCUAGCGAGCUGCUGAAGGUCGACGAGGAGGGUGCCGCCACCACCGUCAUCAGGCUGGUCCACAUCCAUGCGCUUCUCGGCGUCACCAGGUCACCGGCACAACUCCUCACGCCCAGGUCGUUCAACAUUUUCUUCCGCUUUUGGUGCGUCACAUUUAGGGUCUUUCUUUCCCAUUUUACCGUGUUUGCAUGGUAAGAUGUUUGGUUGGAUUUGAAGGUUCGUAGACUUGGCUCCAGAGCUUCAAGCUCUUGUAGAAAUUAGAACUGAGGGCCUUUUAAAAUGAGUCCUGCAUAAUAGUGUUGUUCAGUGGGUUGCAGAAUUUUUGUUUGUACUGAUUUACGUACUGAUUUCAUCAUCAUAUGACUACAAUGAAGAAGCUGUGUGUAUAAAUAUUACUAACUGAUGAUACUUUGCAUCAGUGAUUUCAAUUCUGUUGGCCCUCCUUCA